Molecule: ribosomal RNA, 230 nt
Filed under: uncultured bacterium
Lineage: Bacteria
Description: partial 16S ribosomal RNA
Rfam family: Bacterial small subunit ribosomal RNA
Source: RNAcentral
AGAGUUUGAUCAUGGCUCAGGAUAAACGCUGGCGGCGCACAUAAGACAUGCAAGUCGAACGAACUUAACCAUUAGUUUACUAUUGGAGCGGUUAGUGGCGGACUGGUGAGUAACACGUAAGCAACCUGCCUAUCAGAGGGGGAACAACAGUUAGAAAUGACUGCUAAUCCGCAUAUGCCUUAGAAUCACAUGGUUCAAAAAGGGGAAAGGAGCAAAUCCCACUGAUAGAU